RNAcentral lists this transfer RNA (59 nucleotides) under Loxodonta africana (African savanna elephant). It matches the Rfam family "tRNA", at positions 8 to 63 of the family's 71-position model. Rfam says of the family: Transfer RNA (tRNA) molecules are approximately 80 nucleotides in length. Their secondary structure includes four short double-helical elements and three loops (D, anti-codon, and T loops). Further hydrogen bonds mediate the characteristic L-shaped molecular structure. tRNAs have two regions of fundamental functional importance: the anti-codon, which is responsible for specific mRNA codon recognition, and the 3' end, to which the tRNAs corresponding amino acid is attached (by aminoacyl-tRNA synthetases). tRNAs cope with the degeneracy of the genetic code in two manners: having more than one tRNA (with a specific anti-codon) for a particular amino acid; and 'wobble' base-pairing, i.e. permitting non-standard base-pairing at the 3rd anti-codon position. Lineage: Eukaryota; Metazoa; Chordata; Mammalia; Proboscidea; Elephantidae. The record is from Rfam by way of RNAcentral.
UAGUGUAAAUGGUUAACACAGUUGGCUGCUAACCAGAAGGUUGGUGGUUCGAGUCCACC